UAACACAUGCAAGUCGAGGGGCAGCAUUUUACUUUGCUUGCAAACUGAAGAUGGCGACCGGCGCACGGGUGAGUAACACGUAUCCAACCUGCCGAUAACUCCGGGAUAGCCUUUCGAAAGAAAGAUUAAUACCGGAUAGCAUACGAAUAUCGCAUGAUAUUUUUAUUAAAGAAUUUCGGUUAUCGAUGGGGAUGCGUUCCAUUAGUUUGUUGGCGGGGUAACGGCCCACCAAGACUACGAUGGAUAGGGGUUCUGAGAGGAAGGUCCCCCACAUUGGAACUGAGACACGGUCCAAACUCCUACGGGAGGCAGCAGAGAGGAAUAUUGGUCAAUGGGCGCGAGCCUGAACCAGCCAAGUAGCGUGAAGGAUGAAGGCUCUAUGGGUCGUAAACUUCUUUUAUAUGGGAAUAAAGUUUUCCACGUGUGGAAUUUUGUAUGUACCAUAUGAAUAAGGAUCGGCUAACUCCGUGCCAGCAGCCGCGGUAAUACGGAGGAUCCGAGCGUUAUCCGGAUUUAUUGGGUUUAAAGGGAGCGUACGUGGAUUGUUAAGUCAGUUGUGAAAGUUUGCGGCUCAACCGUAAAAUUGCAGUUGAAACUGGCAGUCUUGAGUACAGUAGAGGUGGGCGGAAUUCGUGGUGUAGCGGUGAAAUGCUUAGAUAUCACGAAGAACUCCGAUUGCGAAGGCAGCUCACUAGACUGUCACUGACACUGAUGCUCGAAAGUGUGGGUAUCAAACAGGAUUAGAUACCCUGGUAGUCCACACAGUAAACGAUGAAUACUCGCUGUUUGCGAUAUACAGUAAGCGGCCAAGCGAAAGCAUUAAGUAUUCCACCUGGGGAGUACGCCGGCAACGGUGAAACUCAAAGGAAUUGACGGGGGCCCGCACAAGCGGAGGAACAUGUGGUUUAAUUCGAUGAUACGCGAGGAACCUUACCCGGGCUUAAAUUGCAACAGAAUAUAUUGGAAACAGUAUAGCCGUAAGGCUGUUGUGAAGGUGCUGCAUGGUUGUCGUCAGCUCGUGCCGUGAGGUGUCGGCUUAAGUGCCAUAACGAGCGCAACCCUUAUCUUUAGUUACUAACAGGUCAUGCUGAGGACUCUAGAGAGACUGCCGUCGUAAGAUGUGAGGAAGGUGGGGAUGACGUCAAAUCAGCACGGCCCUUACGUCCGGGGCUACACACGUGUUACAAUGGGGGGUACAGAAGGCGGCUACCUGGUGACAGGAUGCUAAUCCCAAAAACCUCUCUCAGUUCGGAUCGAAGUCUGCAACCCGACUUCGUGAAGCUGGAUUCGCUAGUAAUCGCGCAUCAGCCAUGGCGCGGUGAAUACGUUCCCGGGCCUUGUACACACCGCCCGUCAAGCCAUGAAAGCCGGGGGUACCUGAAGUACGUAACCGCAAGGAGCGUCCUAGGGUAAAACUGGUAAUUGGGGCUAA
Molecule: ribosomal RNA, 1432 nt
Filed under: uncultured organism
Description: SSU rRNA
Rfam family: Bacterial small subunit ribosomal RNA
Source: RNAcentral